Molecule: ribosomal RNA, 395 nt
Filed under: uncultured bacterium
Lineage: Bacteria
Description: bacterial SSU rRNA
Rfam family: Bacterial small subunit ribosomal RNA
Source: RNAcentral
AUUGAACGCUGGCGGCAUGCCUUACACAUGCAAGUCGAACGGUAACGGGCCUUCGGGUGCCGACGAGUGGCGAACGGGUGAGUAAUGCAUCGGAACGUACCUUUCAGUGGGGGAUAACGUAGCGAAAGUUACGCUAAUACCGCAUAUUCUGUGAGCAGGAAAGCAGGGGAUCGCAAGACCUUGCGCUGAUUGAGCGGCCGAUGUCAGAUUAGCUAGUUGGUGAGGUAAAAGGCUCACCAAGGCGACGAAUCUGUAGCGGGUCUGAGAGGAUGAUCCGCCACACUGGAACUGAGACACGGUCCAGACUCCUACGGGAGGCAGCAGUGGGGAAUUUUGGACAAUGGGGGCAACCCUGAUCCAGCCAUGCCGCGUGAGUGAAGAAGGCUCGGUGUAAG